ACUGUUAUAGCAACAACCUACAGAAGAUGGAAGCAGAAGAAGAAAAUGAGUCCUUGAAGGAAUGAAUGAUGCAAAAUAAACAAGUCAGUGUAAAGCAUAAGAGAAUUUACCAGCACAUUAUAAUGUGUUAAAAUCAAGACAUAAAAAUAUCCUGAAAUACACAAGAGCAUGAAAAUAUGUUGUUUUUGCACUUGUUAUGUCCUCUUUGUUCUCUAAAUAUUCCCAUAUGCUACCAAAGUAAGGAGCCACUUUUUUUGUACUUGAGCUACAUAUUUUUGUUUUGUGCAUGUCAUUUACUUCUAGCCUAGCAUUAUUCUUUUGGUUGUGAAAAGGAUUAUGCUCUGUUUAUUUUACUCUGUUUUUCGGGUAGUCCUCUACUGGUUAGCAGGAAAUGGGAGGAUACAUUAGAAUCCAAGAACCAUUCAGAUACAGCCAAAGUUCUCAAAGCAGGAAAAUGUUGCUCCAUGACUAUUGUUAGGCAACGCAGUGCGUAUUCCAAAGAAUUUGUGAAGAAAAUGUUGGAUCUACCAACAAAUAGAAAGAAAAGAUGAGAAAGAAAUUAAGAAAAAAACACAGAUGUGACGCAGAUAACCACAAAUUCAUCAAGGCAAUGAAACUUGACACUCAGGAUCAAACUUGAAAGAUGCAAGAACAAGAUUGGCCACAUAGACCAAGGGUUUAAGGCACCAAAAGCUAAACUAAGGACGGACCCUUCAACCAAGAAGGCUUUUUGAAGGAACAAAAAACAUUUCUGAAGACAUUUCUCUCCUAGAAUCAGAAGGCAAACAUUUGAACGCGAAACAGGAAAUACUCGAAGGAAAGA
RNAcentral lists this long non-coding RNA (823 nucleotides) under Musa acuminata (dwarf banana). RNAcentral's name for it is "long non-coding RNA (MACU_LNC006714)". The record is from RNAcentral. Lineage: Eukaryota; Viridiplantae; Streptophyta; Magnoliopsida; Zingiberales; Musaceae.